GUCCACACCGUAAACGAUGAUUACUAGAUUUUGGCCGCAAGGUCAGAGUCCAAGCGAAAGUGUUUAGUAAUCCACCUGGGGAGUACGUCCGCAAGGAUGAAACUCAAAGGAAUUGACGGGGGCCCGCACAAGCGGUGGAGCAUGUGGUUUAAUUCGAUGAUACGCGAGGAACCUUACCUGGGCUUGAAAGUUAGUGACCGCUCCUGAAAGGGAGCUUCCCGCAAGGGCACGAAACUAGGUGCUGCAUGGCUGUCGU
Molecule: ribosomal RNA, 256 nt
Filed under: uncultured bacterium
Lineage: Bacteria
Description: partial 16S ribosomal RNA
Rfam family: Bacterial small subunit ribosomal RNA
Source: RNAcentral